This 744-nucleotide ribosomal RNA is filed under the name uncultured bacterium. RNAcentral describes it as "bacterial SSU rRNA". It matches the Rfam family "Bacterial small subunit ribosomal RNA", at positions 59 to 820 of the family's 1533-position model. The record is from RNAcentral.
AAGUCGAGCGAUGAAGCCCCUUCGGGAGUGGAUUAGCGGCGGACGGGUGAGUAACACGUGGGUAACCUGCCUCAAAGAGGGGGAUAGCCUCCCGAAAGGGAGAUUAAUACCGCAUAACAAGUAACUUCCGCAUGGAAGUAACUUUAAAGGAGAAAUCCGCUUUGAGAUGGACCCGCGGCGCAUUAGCUAGUUGGUAGGGUAACGGCCUACCAAGGCAACGAUGCGUAGCCGACCUGAGAGGGUGAUCGGCCACAUUGGAACUGAGAGACGGUCCAGACUCCUACGGGAGGCAGCAGUGGGGAAUAUUGCACAAUGGGCGGAAGCCUGAUGCAGCAACGCCGCGUGAGUGAAGAAGGUUUUCGGAUUGUAAAGCUCUGUCUUUGGGGACGAUAAUGACGGUACCCAAGGAGGAAGCCACGGCUAACUACGUGCCAGCAGCCGCGGUAAUACGUAGGUGGCAAGCGUUGUCCGGAAUUACUGGGCGUAAAGAGUGCGUAGGCGGAUAUUUAAGUGAGAUGUGAAAUACCCGGGCUUAACCCGGGCACUGCAUUUCAAACUGGAUAUCUAGAGUGCAGGAGAGGAGAACGGAAUUCCUAGUGUAGCGGUGAAAUGCGUAGAUAUUAGGAAGAACACCAGUGGCGAAGGCGGUUCUCUGGACUGUAACUGACGCUGAGGCACGAAAGCGUGGGUAGCAAACAGGAUUAGAUACCCUGGUAGUCCACGCCGUAAACGAUGAGUACUAGG